CGUAACGCGUAUAGAACUUACCUUUUACAGGGGAAUAGCCUUUAGAAAUGAAGAUUAAUGCCUCAUAGUAUUGCGAGACGGCAUCGUUUUGUAAUUAAAGAUUUAUCGGUAAAAGAUGGCUAUGCGUCCUAUUAGCUAGAUGGUAAGGUAACGGCUUACCAUGGCAACGAUAGGUAGGGGUCCUGAGAGGGAGAUCCCCCACACUGGUACUGAGACACGGACCAGACUCC
This 230-nucleotide ribosomal RNA is filed under the name uncultured bacterium. RNAcentral describes it as "partial 16S ribosomal RNA". It matches the Rfam family "Bacterial small subunit ribosomal RNA", at positions 109 to 339 of the family's 1533-position model. The record is from RNAcentral.